AUACGGAGGGUGCGAGCGUUAAUCGGAAUUACUGGGCGUAAAGCGUGCGUAGGCGGUUUGCUAAGUCAGAUGUGAAAGCCCCGGGCUUAACCUGGGAACUGCAUUUGAUACUGGCAGACUAGAGUAUGAUAGAGGGGGGUAGAAUUCCUGGUGUAGCGGUGAAAUGCGUAGAUAUCAGGAGGAAUACCAGUGGCGAAGGCGGCCCCCUGGAUCAAUACUGACGCUGAGGUACGAAAGCGUGGGGAGCGAACAGGAGUAGAUACCCCUGUAGUCC
RNAcentral lists this ribosomal RNA (274 nucleotides) under uncultured bacterium. RNAcentral's name for it is "partial 16S ribosomal RNA". It matches the Rfam family "Bacterial small subunit ribosomal RNA", at positions 523 to 796 of the family's 1533-position model. The record is from RNAcentral.